GGAAAGUAAAAGUCGUAACAAGGUUUCCGUAGGUGAACCUGCGGAAGGAUCAUUGCAAAUCUGCGAGCGCUGGGUGGGAUUGUGGGGAAAUCGGCGAGGAACCGCGAGUCGGGGAAUCGUCGAGCCGCGAGAUCUCACAGCACUGCUCAUAUAUGCACAGCGUGCUGGUCUCUGACUGCGCGCUGAUGUUUACGCUUGUUUGUUUGACAAAUCUUUGCAUCAAAAAUUCAAAACUUUUAACAACGGAUCUCUUGGCUCUU
Molecule: unclassified non-coding RNA, 260 nt
Filed under: plant metagenome
Description: partial contains small subunit ribosomal RNA, internal transcribed spacer 1, and 5.8S ribosomal RNA
Rfam family: Eukaryotic small subunit ribosomal RNA (bases 1-55)
Source: RNAcentral